AUCUACUGCCAUGCCACCCUGAACAAGCCCGAUCCUGUCCGAUCUCGGAAGCUAAGCAAGGUCGGGCCUGGUUAGUACUUGAAUGGGAGACCACCUAGGAAGACCAGGAGCUGUAGACA
Molecule: ribosomal RNA, 119 nt
Filed under: Pteropus alecto (black flying fox)
Lineage: Eukaryota; Metazoa; Chordata; Mammalia; Chiroptera; Pteropodidae
Also listed under: 1 other name
Source: RNAcentral